Molecule: ribosomal RNA, 475 nt
Filed under: uncultured organism
Description: partial 16S ribosomal RNA
Rfam family: Bacterial small subunit ribosomal RNA
Source: RNAcentral
CACUCCUACGGGAGGCAGCAGUGGGGAAUAUUGCACAAUGGGCGCAAGCCUGAUGCAGCCAUGCCGCGUGUAUGAAGAAGGCCUUCGGGUUGUAAAGUACUUUCAGCGGGGAGGAAGGCGAUAUGGUUAAUAACCUUGUUGAUUGACGUUACCCGCAGAAGAAGCACCGGCUAACUCCGUGCCAGCAGCCGCGGUAAUACGGAGGGUGCAAGCGUUAAUCGGAAUUACUGGGCGUAAAGCGCACGCAGGCGGUCUGUCAAGUCGGAUGUGAAAUCCCCGGGCUCAACCUGGGAACUGCAUUCGAACCUGGCAGGCUAGAGUCUUGUAGAGGGGGGUAGAAUUCCAGGUGUAGCGGUGAAAUGCGUAGAGAUCUGGAGGAAUACCGGUGGCGAAGGCGGCCCCCUGGACAAAGACUGACGCUCAGGUGCGAAAGCGUGGGGAGCAAACAGGAUUAGAUACCCGGGUAGUCCCAUGA